GAUGAACGCUGGCGGCGUGCCUAAUACAUGCAAGUCGAGCGAACGGACGAGAAGCUUGCUUCUCUGAUGUUAGCGGCGGACGGGUGAGUAACACGUGGAUAACCUACCUAUAAGACUGGGAUAACUUCGGGAAACCGGAGCUAAUACCGGAUAAUAUUUUGAACCCCAUGGUUCAAAAGUGAAAGACGGUCUUGCUGUCACUUAUAGAUGGAUCCGCGCUGCAUUAGCUAGUUGGUAAGGUAACGGCUUACCAAGGCAACGAUGCAUAGCCGACCUGAGAGGGUGAUCGGCCACACUGGAACUGAGACACGGUCCAGACUCCUACGGGAGGCAGCAGUAGGGAAUCUUCCGCAAUGGGCGAAAGCCUGACGGAGCAACGCCGCGUGAGUGAUGAAGGUCUUCGGAUCGUAAAACUCUGUUAUUAGGGAAGAACAUAUGUGUAAGUAACUGUGCACAUCUUGACGGUACCUAAUCAGAAAGCCACGGCUAACUACGUG
This 497-nucleotide ribosomal RNA is filed under the name uncultured bacterium. RNAcentral's name for it is "partial 16S ribosomal RNA". It matches the Rfam family "Bacterial small subunit ribosomal RNA", at positions 28 to 507 of the family's 1533-position model. The record is from RNAcentral.